Molecule: transfer RNA, 75 nt
Filed under: Pseudomonadota bacterium
Lineage: Bacteria; Pseudomonadati; Pseudomonadota
Also listed under: 4 other names
Description: tRNA-Pro
Rfam family: tRNA
About the family: Transfer RNA (tRNA) molecules are approximately 80 nucleotides in length. Their secondary structure includes four short double-helical elements and three loops (D, anti-codon, and T loops).
Source: RNAcentral
CGGGGUGUAGCUCAGCCUGGCUAGAGCGCGUGGUUUGGGACCACGAAGUCGCAGGUUCGAAUCCUGUCACCCCGA